RNAcentral lists this ribosomal RNA (109 nucleotides) under Planctomycetaceae bacterium. Lineage: Bacteria; Pseudomonadati; Planctomycetota; Planctomycetia; Planctomycetales; Planctomycetaceae. RNAcentral also lists the same sequence under 2 other names. The record is from RNAcentral.
CGCGGUGAACAUAUCGAAAGGGUCACACCUGUUCCCAUCCCGAACACAGAAGUUAAGCCUUUCGAGCCGAUGAUAGUGCCCACAAGCGUGAAAGUAGGUAUCGCCGCGU